RNAcentral lists this ribosomal RNA (1070 nucleotides) under human gut metagenome. RNAcentral describes it as "bacterial LSU rRNA". It matches the Rfam family "Bacterial large subunit ribosomal RNA", at positions 1387 to 2465 of the family's 2925-position model. The record is from RNAcentral.
GGACCUAAGCCGAGGCCGAAAGGCGUAGGUGAUGGACAACAGGUUGAUAUUCCUGUACCACCAAUAACCGUUUGAGAAAUGGGAUGACACAGUAGGAUAAGCUAACCGCACUGUUGGUUAUGUGCGGGCAAGUAUUGAGGCAGUUCCGAUAGGCAAAUCCGUCGGAAUAAUGCUGGGGUACGAUGCGGAGCGAAAUUUAGUAGCGAAGUAGCUGAUUUCACACUGUCGAGAAAAGUCUCUAUCGAGGUUAAAGGUGCCUGUACCGCAAACCGACACAGGUGGGUGAGGAGAGUAUCCUAAGGCCAGCGAGAGAACUGUUGUUAAGGAACUCGGCAAAAUGACCCCGUAACUUAGGGAGAAGGGGUGCCUUCGAAAGAAGGCCGCAGAGAAUAGGCCCAAGCGACUGUUUACCAAAAACAUAGGUUUCUGCUAAGUCGCAAGACGAUGUAUAGGAGCUGACGCCUGCCCGGUGCUGGAAGGUUAAGGGGAUCUGUUAGAGCAAUCGAAGCAGUGAACUUAAGCCCCAGUAAACGGCGGCCGUAACUAUAACGGUCCUAAGGUAGCGAAAUUCCUUGUCGGGUAAGUUCCGACCCGCACGAAAGGCGUAACGAUUUGGGCACUGUCUCAACAACAGACUCGGUGAAAUUGUAAUACCGGUGAAGAUGCCGGUUACCUGCGACAGGACGGAAAGACCCCAUGGAGCUUUACUGUAGCUUGACAUUGAGUCUCGGUGCUACAUGUACAGGAUAGGUGGGAGACUAUGAAGCAUGGACGUCAGUCUGUGUGGAGUCAUCCUUGGGAUACCACCCUUGUAGUACUGGGAUUCUAACCAGAGGCCAUGAAUCUGGUCUUGGGACACUGUCAGGUGGACAGUUUGACUGGGGCGGUCGCCUCCCAAAAAGUAACGGAGGCGCUCAAAGGUUCUCUCAGUACGGUCGGAAAUCGUACGAAGAGUGUAAAGGCAAAAGAGAGCUUGAUUGCAAGACAUACAGGUCGAGCAAGGACGAAAGUCGGACUUAGUGAUCCGGUGGUUCCGCAUGGAAGGGCCAUCGCUCAACGGAUAAAAGCUA